CGCGGGAUUAGAGUUUGAUCCUGGCUCAGAUUGAACGCUGGCGGCGUGCUUAACACAUGCAAGUCGAGCGGUAACGCGGGAGCAAUCCUGGCGACGAGCGGCGAACGGGUGAGUAAUGCUUGGGAAUCUGCCCAUUAGUGGGGAACAACCAGCCGAAAGGUUGGCUAAUACCGCAUACUCCCUACGGGGGAAAGCGGGGGAUCGUAAGACCUCGCGCUAAUGGAUGAGCCCAAGUCUGAUUAGCUUGUUGGUAGGGUAACGGCCUACCAAGGCGACAAUCCGUAGCUGGUCUGAGAGGACGACCACCCACACUGGGACUGAGACACGGCCCAAACUCCUACUGGAGGCAUCAGUGGGGAAUAUUGGACAAUGGGGGCAACCCUGAUCCAGCAACACCACGUGUGUGAAGGAGGCCUGUCCGGUUGUAAAGCACUUUUAGUGGGGACGAAAAGCUCAGGGUUAACACCUCUGGGUCUUGACCUAACCCACAGAAUAAGCACCGGCUAACUCUGUGCCAGCAGCCUCGGUAAUACAGAGGGUGCAAGCGUUAAUCGGAAUUACUGGGCGUAUAGCGCGCGUAGACUGUUACAUAACUCGGGUGUGAAAGCCCCGGGCUCAACCCAGGAAUUGCAUU
Molecule: ribosomal RNA, 634 nt
Filed under: uncultured Gammaproteobacteria bacterium
Lineage: Bacteria; Pseudomonadati; Pseudomonadota; Gammaproteobacteria
Description: bacterial SSU rRNA
Rfam family: Bacterial small subunit ribosomal RNA
Source: RNAcentral